CAUGGCUCAGAUUGAACGCUGGCGGCAGGCCUAACACAUGCAAGUCGAGCGGAAACGACACUAWYRAUYCUUCGGRUGAGUUAGAUGGGCGUCGAGCGGCGGACGGGUGAGUAAUGCCUAGGAAAUUGCCUUGAUGUGGGGGAUAACCAUUGGAAACGAUGGCUAAUACCGCAUAAUGCCUACGGGCCAAAGAGGGGGACCUUCGGGCCUCUCGCGUCAAGAUAUGCCUAGGUGGGAUUAGCUAGUUGGUGAGGUAAUGGCUCACCAAGGCGACGAUCCCUAGCUGGUCUGAGAGGAUGAUCAGCCACACUGGAACUGAGACACGGUCCAGACUCCUACGGGAGGCAGCAGUGGGGAAUAUUGCACAAUGGGCGAAAGCCUGAUGCAGCCAUGCCGCGUGUAUGAAGAAGGCCUUCGGGUUGUAAAGUACUUUCAGUUGUGAGGAAGGGGGUAACGUUAAUAGCGUUAUCUCUUGACGUUAGCAACAGAAGAAGCACCGGCUAACUCCGUGCCAGC
Molecule: ribosomal RNA, 516 nt
Filed under: Vibrio splendidus
Lineage: Bacteria; Pseudomonadati; Pseudomonadota; Gammaproteobacteria; Vibrionales; Vibrionaceae
Description: bacterial SSU rRNA
Rfam family: Bacterial small subunit ribosomal RNA
Source: RNAcentral